UUGAAUAAAGAUAAAAAAUAUAGAUUGAAUAAUUGGGCUUCUAGGUAUACAAACACGCGAACACACAGCAUAAAACCUUUUAAUAUUCAUAUAUAUAUAUAUACAUAUCUAUAUAUAAUGGAUUUUUGUUUUUAAUCAGAAAUCAUGAUGAGUUUAACCCAUUAGAAUGUUAUGUAAGAGGAAGUAAAAAAAAAUACUCAAUUCCUUUUUCGAUCUUGCCUAGUAAAGACGAGCUUGGGAAUUUCCAUCCACCCGUGUAAGUUUAAAUAAAACAAAUAAACACAAACAAAAUAGAUACAAACAUAAUUAAUACGUACCAAUUUCUAUAUUUUUAAUAAAGUUUUUGUAAUUACAAUACUUAUGCAUGCAAUUUUUUUAUACAAAUUAUAUACAUUCAUAUAUGAACAUUCACUUUAUUUAUUUAUUUUAGAUUUAUUUAUUUAUUUUUUUUUUUUUUUUUUUUACUUAUUUUAUUUUUUUUUUUUGUAGAUUAUCAGGAAGGUAUAAAGCCGAUAUAGAGAAACAAUAUUAUAUGCACGAUUUGCCAUGGGUGUGGCAUAGAAGCUUUUACGAAGGUACUAACCAUUUUUGUGAUAACAUGGUUGUAGGAAAAAAAAAAUGGUACAUGAAAGAACAGCGAGAAGAAAGAAUGAAGGAGGCCCUAAAAAAAAUGAAUGAUAUGGUUUUGGAAUAUAGAGAGGAAUGUAAAAACAAAAAGAAGUAUAAUUUUUUUGAAAAGGCUGUUAAUACUUUGGGAGAUGAAGUAGCACAUAAAUAUAUUCGAAAAAUAAAAAAUAUUUAUUUAUAAUUAUUAUUAUUAUUAUUUUUUUUUUUUUUGUACCUCUUUCCUUUUGAAAAAAAGGACAUCGUAAGAUAAAACAUGACAUUGUAACAUAAAAUAGGUAAAAAUAUUUGACUUUAUUAAUUGUGCUUUAAGGUAUGUUACACUAUUGCAUUGUGUAUUAUAUGUAUGUAUUGUGUAAUGAAUUUUUUUAUUUUUUUAACUUUAUACAAUUGGUUUGGUAUUACCACCACUAUUACUAUUGUUAAAAUUGUUGUUACUUUUAUGAUAUUUAAUUUUUAUACUUUUGGACGUGUAAAAAUAUAUUAAAAAAAAAAAUGAAAAAAUGAAAAAAUAAAAAAGACAAAAAACAAAAAACA
Molecule: long non-coding RNA, 1161 nt
Filed under: Piliocolobus tephrosceles (Ugandan red Colobus)
Lineage: Eukaryota; Metazoa; Chordata; Mammalia; Primates; Cercopithecidae
Description: lncRNA (ENSPTEG00000007069.1)
Source: RNAcentral